Molecule: unclassified non-coding RNA, 246 nt
Filed under: Hevea brasiliensis (rubber tree)
Lineage: Eukaryota; Viridiplantae; Streptophyta; Magnoliopsida; Malpighiales; Euphorbiaceae
Source: RNAcentral
GGGGUAUCACUACACAUUAACUAGAUUUUUUGUGCUGCACAAGGAUAAACUCAAAGGAACUGCAAGAGAAAUCUUAAAUUCUUCAGCUGAUGAAGGGAAGAUUAUGUUUGGUGAGGUAGUAUUUGGCAACCCCUCAAUUGGAUUUAACUGGAGAUCCAAUUUAGGUCAGGAAUUUAAGGAGGUGAUAGAAACGAAAUGGCAGUCAUUCCAGUUAAGAAAUUCCUCAACCAAAUAUCAAACUCAAAU